AAUGCGGGACUCUAAGAGGCCCCGUAAUUGGAAUGAGUACACCUUAAAUCGUUUAACGAGUAUCAAUUGGAGGGCAAGUCUGGUGCCAGCAGCCGCGGUAAUUCCAGCUCCAAUAGCGUAUAUUAAAGUUGCUGCAGUUAAAAAGCUCGUAGUUGGAUCUGGGGCUUGAGGUCGCUGUCUAUCGUUUCGGCGAUGACGGUGAUGCUCAGCUCUGCUUGCCGGUGACUGUUGCGGUGUUCUUAAUUGAGCGCUGUAGCAGCACGGCACGUUUACUUUGAAAAAAUUAGAGUGCUCAAAGCGUGCUUGUCGCUUGAAUAAUGUUGCAUGGAAUAAUGGAAUAGGACCUCGGUUCUAUUUUGUUGGUUUUCGGAGCUUGAGGUAAUGAUUAAGAGGGACGAACGGGGGCAUUCGUAUUGCGGUGUUAGAGGUGAAAUUCUUGGAUCGCCGCAAGACGGACUACUGCGAAAGCAUUUGCCAGAACGCUUUCAUUAAUUAAGAACGAAAGUCAGAGGUUCGAAGACGAUCAGACUCCGUCCUAGUUCUGACCAUAAACGAUGCCGACCAGCGAUCCGUAGUGGUUGCUUUAUGGACCCUACGGGCAGCCUCCGGGAAACCAAAGUAUUUGGGUUCCGGGGGAAGUAUGGUUGCAAAGCUGAAACUUAAAGGAAUUGACGGAAGGGCACACCAGGAGUGGAGCCUGCGGCUUAAUUUGACCCAACACGGGAAAACUCACCCGGUCCGGACACCGUAAGGAUUGACAGACUGAUAGCUCUUUCUUGAUUCGGUGGAUGGUGGUGCAUGGCCGUUCUUAGUUGGUGGAGUGAUUUGUCUGGUUAAUUCCGAUAACGAACGAGACUUUAGCCUGCUAAGUAGUGUGUCUAUUGUGAUAUGGUAUACACUUCUUAGAGGGACAAGUGGCAUUUAGCCACGCGAAAUUGAGCAAUAACAGGUCUGUGAUGCCCUUAGAUGUCCGGGGCCGCACGCGCGCUACACUGGAGAAGUCAGCGUGUGUUAUCCAAGUCCGAAAGGAUUGGGUAAUCCGUUGAACCUUCUUCGUGCUUGGGACUGUGGCUUGGAACUAUUCCACAUGAACGAGGAAUUCCUAGUAAGUGCAAGUCAUUAGCUUGCGUUGAUUACGUCCCUGCCCUUUGUACACACCGCCCGUCGCUACUACCGAUUGAAUGGUUUAGCAAGGUCCUCGGAUCGUGGACGUAGGGGCACGCAAGUGUUUCUGCGUUUUGCGAGAAGACGACCAAACUUGAUCAUUUAGA
RNAcentral lists this ribosomal RNA (1271 nucleotides) under metagenome. Its description in RNAcentral is "SSU rRNA". It matches the Rfam family "Eukaryotic small subunit ribosomal RNA", at positions 482 to 1777 of the family's 1831-position model. The record is from RNAcentral.